GACGAACGCUGGCGGCGUGCUUAACACAUGCAAGUCGAACGGAAAGGCCCUGCUUUUGUGGGGUGCUCGAGUGGCGAACGGGUGAGUAACACGUGAGUAACCUGCCCUUGACUUUGGGAUAACUUCAGGAAACUGGGGCUAAUACCGGAUAGGAGCUCCUGCUGCAUGGUGGGGGUUGGAAAGUUUCGGCGGUUGGGGAUGGACUCGCGGCUUAUCAGCUUGUUGGUGGGGUAGUGGCUUACCAAGGCUUUGACGGGUAGCCGGCCUGAGAGGGUGACCGGCAAAAUUGGGACUGAGAUACGGCCCAGACUCCUACGGGAGGCAGCAGUGGGGAAUAUUGCACAAUGGGCGGAAGCCUGAUGCAGCAACGCCGCGUGCGGGAUGACGGCCUUCGGGUUGUAAACCGCUUUCGCCUGUGACGAAGCGUGAGUGACGGUAAUGGGUAAAGAAGCACCGGCUAACUACGUG
RNAcentral lists this ribosomal RNA (468 nucleotides) under uncultured bacterium. RNAcentral's name for it is "partial 16S ribosomal RNA". It matches the Rfam family "Bacterial small subunit ribosomal RNA", at positions 28 to 507 of the family's 1533-position model. The record is from RNAcentral.